Molecule: non-coding RNA, 108 nt
Filed under: Pontibacillus halophilus
Lineage: Bacteria; Bacillati; Bacillota; Bacilli; Caryophanales; Bacillaceae
Also listed under: 1 other name
Description: SAM-I sequence
Rfam family: SAM riboswitch aptamer (S box leader)
About the family: The SAM riboswitch is found upstream of a number of genes which code for proteins involved in methionine or cysteine biosynthesis in Gram-positive bacteria. The SAM riboswitch acts at the level of transcription termination control.
Source: RNAcentral
UUCUUAUCAAGAGAGGUGGAGGGAAUGGCCCUUUGAAACCUCGGCAACGGAUUCCUAUGGAACACCGUGCCAAUUCCUGUGUGCGACUAGUCGCUUACAAGAUGAGAA